This 471-nucleotide ribosomal RNA is filed under the name uncultured bacterium. RNAcentral's name for it is "bacterial SSU rRNA". It matches the Rfam family "Bacterial small subunit ribosomal RNA", at positions 28 to 497 of the family's 1533-position model. The record is from RNAcentral.
GAUGAACGCUGGCGGCGUGCUUAACACAUGCAAGUCGAACGAAGCUGCUUAACAGAUUUCCUUCGGGAUUGAUGUUUUGUAGACUGAGUGGCGGACGGGUGAGUAACGCGUGGGUAACCUGCCCUGUACAGGGGGAUAACAAUCAGAAAUGACUGCUAAUACCGCAUAAGACCACAGCACCGCAUGGUGCAGGGGUAAAAACUCCGGUGGUACAGGAUGGACCCGCGUCUGAUUAGCUGGUUGGUGAGGUAACGGCUCACCAAGGCGACGAUCAGUAGCCGGCUUGAGAGAGUGAACGGCCACAUUGGGACUGAGACACGGCCCAAACUCCUACGGGAGGCAGCAGUGGGGAAUAUUGCACAAUGGGGGGAACCCUGAUGCAGCGACGCCGCGUGAGUGAAGAAGUAUUUCGGUAUGUAAAGCUCUAUCAGCAGGGAAGAAAAUGACGGUACCUGACUAAGAAGCCCCGGC